AUGAAACCGUCCUUUGAAAUUGAAUGUUAUCAUCAAUUUCUUCAACUCAAUCGUUCUCCUCAAUGCGAUAAUAAUUAGAUUCUUCAAUAUAAUCGUUCCUCCGCUCAUCCCAAAUCAUGCCUUGUUUCACUAAUCAAUUCAUCCCCGCUCGCUCCCAUUUCUACCCCUGCUCUCUUUUCAUCGCACAACACACACCUGCCACAUCAUCCAUUAUGAGUUGCAAGACCUCAAUUCGAUUCAUGAGUUUAAUUUUCAAUCAAGUGAAUGUCCAAAUUAAAUCCGUUGAAACUGCUGUCUCUUUGUUUCCCUUUGAAUUGAAAGAGUGGGAGGUUAGAAGUAGAGACAGAGAGAAGUAGGGAAGCAGCUGUUGGUUUCUAAAGCAACCGAUGGAAACGGAUGUUUCCUCCGGCCAACGGGAUCUUGAUUUCGUCAUUCGGUUUCAGCCUGUUGUUGAAGUUUCACUCAAACAACACGAUUUGACAGGGUUGAAGCUUACAAGUACCGUUAUCCUGCAGAUCUAAGUUCUUACUUUCCCUAAAUUUUUUGUCUACCUUUUGUUGACACAGAUUCUAUGAAGAAAAUAACUUGUAUAUGAUUUGGUUUUAUCUAAUUCUUACUUUUUAUAUAUGUUUUUGUGUGUACUGAUGAUGCAGGGUUUUUUCAAUAUAUUCUUUUGUAGUGAUAUUUGCAAUGAUACUAGGGCUUGGUUCAAAUGCUUUCUCGGACAAGGUAGAUUCAUUGCGAAAAAAAGGAAUAGUUAAGUGAUUGAAAGCAACCACAUACUCUUUCUUGGAUGGAGUGACAAAUUGGCUUAUUUACCAAGUUAUAUGGAGAAAAUGAUCAAAGGGUUGGAAUGGACAUGUGCUCUCUACCUUACGCAAAGUGCGCAAAAGGCCACAAGUGCAUUUUUCAACUUAGGAAAACAUUGAAAACAUAUUCAAACUCUACUCGCUUUGCUCUUGCAUGCAACACAUCUUCUAAAAUAACCGAGCUCAUCCAGAGUAAGUGUGCACUUGUACGGUUUCCCAAGGUUGUGGUUGAUGCUAAAAAGGUAAUUAUUUGUGCUACUGCAAAAAAAAAAAAAACGUUUUGUUUUGAUCGAUGGGGAUGAUGUUAUUUAUUUGCGUUAACAAUAAGUUUCUAUCCUUUCUUCAUAUCUAUUAUAAAUGUGAUAGAUGCAUAAUUGGUUAAUAUUUAUUACUGAUGUAGGUGCUUUAUGUCCCAAAUGGUCUUGAAAUGAUUAAUUGCACCUGGAGUUGUUGAAUCAUUUGCUCAAGUUUGUUCAGAAGUGGUGCAAUGGAUCCCUUAAUGGAUUCAUAUAUUGAGAGAAUGCAAGCAACAUGGGUAAACUUGCAAAAAUGAAUUUUGAGUCCAUACGGGUCGGUUUAAAAAAAAAAAAAAAAAAAAAAAACUAUCCAGCUGGUGGUGGCGGUAACGGUGACGGUCCGACGAGACAUUUAUACAAAAUCACAUUCCCUUAAAAAAACUAAAACUACUGAAAAAAUUAUAGUUUGCAGGUAAUAUUUAUGUUGAUAUGAUGGUGAUAUUUUUCUACACGCCCUUCGCUUCCGGUCCCAGCCCCUCUAUUGGCUAGGGAAGAUCAAGGAUAGGCGAGAUGGCGUACCAAGGAGGAGGUAACCUGAAGUCGACCUUCAUUGAUAGAGUGAAGAUGUAUACGGUGGUGGGACCGCUUGCUAGCCACAUGGCUACCACCGAAUAAGCUUAGACCUCUUCGCAAAGGCAAAAGUACUGAUUUUGUUGAUUGUUUUAAUUUUCUUUAGUAAAAAAUGAAAGGUUUACUAGAUAAAUAUGCGUACAUGUAAAACAGUUGAGAAAGAUGUAGUUCCCGAUAGUUAAAUAAAGCUUAUUAUUUUGUAGUACAUUGACACACACCUCACAUACGUAAUGCGCGCCUUAGAUUUUGGGACCAAAACGCCUUCCAUUAAUUGAAACCAAGCUCCACCCACAUAAAAAGACAUUUUUUUUUCGUUCAGAUUGAUCUUAUAAUAAACUUUUCAAACCGUAUAACAUGAUGUCGAUGCACCUAUUGAAACAGAAAUAAUAAGGCUAAUUGUCUAAAAGUUCGUUAGACAUAUAAUAUUAGUUGCUAAUUGUAUUGUUUGUGUUUUUACCUAAUUCAGAG
Helianthus annuus (common sunflower) is the source of this 2143-nucleotide long non-coding RNA. RefSeq lists it as uncharacterized. The transcript has 4 exons. The record is from RefSeq and is a predicted model, not a curated record. Lineage: Eukaryota; Viridiplantae; Streptophyta; Magnoliopsida; Asterales; Asteraceae.